This 497-nucleotide ribosomal RNA is filed under the name uncultured bacterium. RNAcentral's name for it is "partial 16S ribosomal RNA". It matches the Rfam family "Bacterial small subunit ribosomal RNA", at positions 28 to 507 of the family's 1533-position model. The record is from RNAcentral.
GAUGAACGCUGGCGGCGUGCCUAAUACAUGCAAGUCGAGCGAACAGAUGAGGAGCUUGCUCCUCUGACGUUAGCGGCGGACGGGUGAGUAACACGUGGAUAACCUACCUAUAAGACUGGGAUAACUUCGGGAAACCGGAGCUAAUACCGGAUAAUAUAUUGAACCGCAUGGUUCAAUAGUGAAAGACGGUUUUGCUGUCACUUAUAGAUGGAUCCGCGCCGCAUUAGCUAGUUGGUAAGGUAACGGCUUACCAAGGCAACGAUGCGUAGCCGACCUGAGAGGGUGAUCGGCCACACUGGAACUGAAGCACGGUCAAGACACCUACGGAAGGCACCAGUAGGGAAUCUUCCGCAAUGGGCGAAAGCCUGACGGAGCAACGCCGCGUGAGUGAUGAAGGUCUUCGGAUCGUAAUACUCUGUUAUUAGGGAAAAACAAAUGUGUAAGUAGCUAUGCACGUCUUGACGGUACCUAAUCAGAAAGCCACGGCUAACUACGUG